GCUUUGCUGGCAUUGUGUAGUCCUGACACUUGCGUUACCCCAAGGGUUGUAUUCACAAGAUCCAGUUCUGUGAUUAUAUCAAUCUGUAAGUCAGGAUCCAUUCCAAAUCCCACAGCUGCGAGCCAGCGCAGAAUCUACUCCCGUAGCUGUUCUACACUUAAACACUUCUCCUCUCCAGCCCCGAACUUGGCUCAGUUCUUGGCAAGAAAC
Cygnus olor (mute swan) is the source of this 210-nucleotide long non-coding RNA. RefSeq lists it as uncharacterized. NCBI's taxonomy places the organism in Eukaryota, Metazoa, Chordata, Aves, Anseriformes, Anatidae. The record is from RefSeq and is a predicted model, not a curated record. The transcript is spliced from 3 exons.